Molecule: long non-coding RNA, 8529 nt
Filed under: Triticum aestivum (bread wheat)
Lineage: Eukaryota; Viridiplantae; Streptophyta; Magnoliopsida; Poales; Poaceae
Description: long non-coding RNA (TAES_LNC016562)
Source: RNAcentral
UUUUACGCUAUCCAGUGGCCCGAACCUGGGUAAAAACCAUCUGUGUCGCCACCGUCGUGUUGUGUGGCACCCCGGCUUAGAGAAACCGGAACGCCCCGUAUUCCAGCCCAGAGAUCGAGGAGAAGUCUUCUCGAAUAUGGCAAUACUUAGCAUAGAACAAACCAGCUUUCUAUUAUUACAUGAAUAUGAAUACAAGGUCUCCGACAUUACAAUGAAUAACAUCGGCCCGGUGAUACUUCGCCAUCCUCAGUUGCUCUAUGCAAGCAGCAGAACAACUCGAACCAGCGGGAAAACUCUGGCAGCAGAACAAUGAUAACAGUGAUGAACUCCACUCCGCAGGGACUCUGGCUGGAACGCUUAUCCUAGCUCGCAAACAAAGAAUCCACACAAACAAGCAUUCAAAUCCGGCAUGACCUGCAAACUGGCAUGACACGCCAGGUCAGUACAUUGAAUGUACUUGCAAGCUCACAAUAACCAGAAAUAUUCAAGACAAGCAUCAGCAUGGCAUUUACAGGUUAAGCAGGAAUUAACAUGAGAUCCUCAUAACAAUAUGACAUGAACAACAUGAACAUGGUACAACUAGAACAACAUGAGCAUGGCAAGAACAUAUGAAUCUGACGAUACUAGCAUGCAACAUGAUGACACUAUAUGCACCACUAAUUCUGCUCGGGCUACCUCGUAACCAUCACAUGCAUCACUUACCAUCCUCGGACAUCACACGAUCAUCUUAGGAUCAAAUCAAGCUUGGUAAAAACAAUACCGCAGUGAUCAUUAAAUGACCACAAGGAACUUGAUCUUUACCCACGAUUCUCGCACAACAUCCUGAAUAUCCAACAACUCGGUAUCCUAGAUACCAUGGUGAUCAUUCACGAAUCACAAACGGAACCACUCUGGGUUCAACGGGCUACCCCGUAACUAAACGGUGAUCUUUCCGGCGAUCACAACCAUGACCAACACCUGGUCUCAAAUGGUGAUCUUUCCGGCGAUCCCAACCAACCUAUCUCAUCAUCGAACUGGGGUUGUUAUUAAGCACAUUAUUAUUAAUACUGUUGACUCACAGUGUGACCGACACGAACUGGGCCCUUAUCUGCAGGCGCGCUUAUCGAUAGAUUUAAUAUACACUCUGGAGAGGUUAGUACACUGUACCCACACUACGGAACCCAUGGCCUCACACUCCCAUUCGGGUGGACCAACGGCGUUCCGACAAAACCAAUCUACUGUCGUGACAGUCUCCCGGCCACUCCGACCAACUCCCCUUUGGGCUAAGUCCUGGGUGGCCCCGUGCCUACCAAAGGCACCAACGGCCACCGUUGUGGCCAAAACAUAAACGGUCCCAGACAGGGACAACGCGGGUACAACAACAACAAUGGGCACACAAGGUUAUGUCUGCUUACCGGGCCAGGGUACCGCACGCCCAUAACCUUCCCUCCUUGGAGGCACCAGCGAGAGGCAUGCCAAUAGACCGAGUUAGGACCUUCCCAUAAAGGCAAGCGUGGUUGCACUGGUUAUCUCGAUAUGGUGGCACCAUGACUCAGCCAACAGUUGUUCAAGUUCAAUUUAAUCCGGUUAAACUUGAAUGCAAAUAUGCUGAGCCAUGAUAAAAUAACAUGAUGCAAAUUACAAUGCAUGAACAUGAUAUCAACAUAAGCAUGGAGGUGCAACAUAACUAUUAACCAUAUCAACAAUGAAUCAUAUCCAACUGAGCAUGACAUGCUGACUAGCAUGAAUAUCACAAGUACAUACUUCUCAGAAACAUAGCAUGACCACUAGCAUCAACAAUAAAUAUCAUGUAAGAACAUAUCAACAAUGCCAUCAUGCAAGAAUUUAACCAACUGGAUACAAUGGAACAUGCAUAACCACGAUACUCGGGACAAACGACAGUCAUGCACCGAAGACCAUCACAAACAUCAACAUGUACUACUAGCAAGCAUAAUCAUAUUAAAGAAAUACUAGCAACUCGCAAGGCGUGAUAAUCAGGUGCAUAAUAACAUAGCAAGAAAGUAAGCACUAACCCAGAAGCAUUACUAAAACAACGAUAACCAUAUUUUAAACAAGCAAACAUUUUACAAAUAUUCAAGUUGAAAACCAUGACUACUACAUGACUAUCAUGCAAGUGGGUAUUGUGGCUUGCCUAGGGAUGAAGAAAUCACCGGGACAAAGUGUGAGAGGCUUGCGGGAAGAAUUACCGGAAAAACGUUCUCUCUCGGAGGGGCCUGAUUAGGGGCAAGGGCAAGAAGGUCAUUUUCAGAACGUUAAAACGUAGUGAAAAUGAUACCAGCAAAACGGACUCGGCGAGACGAAGAAGUGGGCUUUGGAAUCACCUCAUUUGGAGUUGUGGUUAAAAAGUUAUGGUUGUUUUUCUGCCAGGGACCUAUCUAUAAUGAAAUCAUCACAAACAAGCCCUCAGCCGGAAAAAUAGAAAGCGCCUUCUCAGGAAAUACGUUUUCCAGAACGGAAAGCGUAUUUUGGCUCGAAUAAGAAACAAAAUGCGCUUUCAGUUAGCGUAGGCCUACUCCCUGGAGUACAUCUCCACUUAUCCAGUGUGGCAGUGGGAGGCCGUGGCGCUGAUCGGCUGACGAGUGGGGCCCGCCUUAUCCAUCUCUUUCUCUCUCUCUCUCUUCUCGCCUGGCUUCUUCCUCGCGCCCGACCGAGGACAGAGGAGAGGCGGAGCUGGCUCGGCCGGCGUCUGUCCUUGCCGGCUCCGGCCGUCUCCGGCCGAGGGGAUGGCGCCGCGAGCGAGGCUUGGCCCACCGCGUCCAUCCAGAGGGGAAUCAGGCGCCGGGGAGGGACAGAAUGGCGGCGCCGCGCGGCACAACAAGUAGGGGAGGCGGCGGACAAUCUUGAGGACGACGGCCACAGCUACUCCGUUGACUAGAUGAGGGGAGGGGGGGCUUGGUUGGUAUCAGGGAGGCCUCUGGUGGUGGAAAAGUGGGGCGAGGGGGCUCGGCUCGCUCCAAUUUAGGAGGAGGAGGCCGGCGGCCAUGGUGACACAGAGAGGUGGGGAGGGGCUCUGGAGAUCGAGGGAGAGGCCGGGGAGGUUCCUGGAGGUGGUGUGAGGCUGGUAGCGAGGUCGAACGGCCUCGGGGUGGGCUUGUAUAGCUGGCGGGAGGGGUGUGUCGCGCUGUCGUUGUCGCGGACGCGUGGCCAGCACCGCGGGCGCGUGUGCGCGCGCUCGAGCUCGGGGGAAGGUGACGGGGAGACACAGGGAGGAGCCCACGGGGCAAAGGGAGCCCACGGAGCACGGGGAGGAAGAAGAUGGCAACAAACAGAACCAAAUGGCCAUUGUUCGCCCGUGGUCACGCGGCGGCGAGCGUCUGUGAGCAAGCCGAUGGAGGGGGAGAGGGGUCCAGGGAGUGGGCAACGACGAGGGCUAUCUGCUGGACACGCUUACGCGCGCGAAGCCGACGAGAGGGAGAGGGGCCCGAGCAAGAAACCAUCCAGCUCGCGUCCAUGGCAUGCUAGAGAGGUGGUCACCGCGCGCACUGGUGCACACAGUGUCACAAGCGAUGUCCAACGAUGUCUGGGGUGGAGUCCUUCCUGGGUAGGUUGCAACCGAGGUGGUAACUUGGUUAAACACGUAGUGGUUAAAUGGUAGUCAUCACCUAAAGUUUACUGCAGUAAACUUGGUCAUGCACUGGUGAUCAACAGGGAAGUGUUUGUGGUCAAUGGAGUUGUCUGGGGUGACUAGCUUAGGAAGAACUACCAUACUGGGGAGUUUGGCAGGAAAUGCACCAAGACUUAAUGCACUUGCUUUGCAAUUGCAUAAUCUGGUCCAGAAACUUGAUCAGGAAGGUGCACUCACAUGGAGUGUCAAAUUGAGCUCAAAUUGGGCAAGGAAGAGUCAUUUGGUCCUAUGAAGAUGCUCAAAAAGUCUCAUACCAAUUGGCCGAGCCAAACUGGUACUUGCUUCACAAACAUCUCCUCUGGACAGAAACUUGCAGAAAUUCUAGAGGAAUAAUGGCUUGAUAAACCAUGCCCAAAAUGGGUGGAGGUAGGUUAUAUGGAUAAUAUAAGGCCUAGAAAAACUGGCAGCCAUAAUGGAGCAAGAUAAAAUAUACUUGCUUCACAAACUGAAAUUUUUGGACAGAAUCAAAGAAUUGAAGAUGAGCUCACAUGGAGGCAUGACAUGAGAUAUACUUUGGUGGAGGGCUAUCAUAUGAUGAUGUGAGGGAUCAUGCAAAAUGGCAACUCAUUUGGAUAUGCCUAGCUUGCACAUCCAUCACAAGGCUUCUUUCUGGAUAGAAACUUUGGAAAAUCAUAAUUAAAUAAUUACUAGGCAAAUGAGGUUGCAUUUUGGCAUGUGGCAAUGAUAUGGAUAGUAAAGGUGUCCAAGGAGUUUGAGGUCAAUUGGGAAAAGGAAAAUAGCACUUGCUUCACAAUGUGCCAUUUAGGGCAGAAUAGGAAACGAAUUAUUUGAGCAUGAUGAUAAACAUGUCAAAUGAAAUAUUUUGCCAUAUUUGAGAAAGAUAUGACCCAAAAAAUUUAUGUGAAUUAUUUGGGAAUUUAAGGAGUGAUGGAAAUAAAGGUUGCUUCACAACCUAGGGCAAUUUGAGUUAUUCCUUUAAUAGAAAAGGAAUAUUCCCAAUAAAAAGAAUAUUGGGAUUUGGGCUAGGAUGAAAUGACAGGGUCUAGGGAAGGAUUUGGGAAUGACAAGCCACUCUGGAAACAAAGAAGAGGGCAUCUUCUUCAGUUUCCAGACCACAAAGCCACGAAAAAAGAAAACUCAAGCAAAAACCUCAGAAAAACAAAAGAGAAGGAAAGGGCUAAAAUCAGGUUGUCACAAACCUUACCCCCUUAAAGAAAUCUCAUCCUCGAGAUUUGGUUGCUCAGGGAACAAGUAUGAAGAUACUGACUUAAGGAAACCGUUUCCAACUCGGGUAUCCUUUUUCUUAUUUUUGUUCCCACUAAAUUUUUAUCUGACUGGCCCUGGGGUGGUUUGCUUUAAUAUAUCCAUAUUCUGACAUAUCUUACCUUGCUUGUUCAUGCUUACACAGGCUCCAAUUUAUUUUUAGACCUGCUGACUUAGCUGACUGUGAUUGAUUCUCAUGACUGAAAUAUAUGUCGGUCUCACAAAUCCAAGAGUGAUUUCCGCUGGGUGUGUCAUCCGACGCUGACAAUCUUUCAUGAAAUGGUGAUCAGAUUUUUCUAGUGGACACCCAAGCUCAAACUCCUUGCAUUGGGUUUCUCCACUAAAUGCAGGUCCUUCGGGUUCCAAACAGUGAGUUGGGUCAUAACCGCUUUUCUGACAGAUUCUGGCUUAUCGCGGAAGUUUCUGAAUCAUCUUAACUGGUUCCACUGUCUUGAGUAUCGGAUACGCACCAAACAUUAGAUUGUCGCCUGUAGUGGCUAGCAUAAGAGUUUGACAUGUAUGAUAAUAUCUAUAGACUUGACUGACGGUGGUUCUGCACCAUGAGGGUCUUGCAACAAUUUUCAUACCUGCAUCAGUGAUCUUGCUCCUUCAUUAUUGUUUUCUUUGUCUGGAUCCUUGGCUGAAAGAGCUGGGUCAUAUUGCUUCUUCGUAUCACCAUAGGUACUGUCGGUGCAAUUUUUCGGCAAUCGCAGCUUAUCCUCAUUUUUCUGACAGGGUACCCCAUUAAAUGGCAGGUUCAACACCCCUCAAGUUCUGACCGCAGGAAAAUGAUCAUCUGAACCUUUGCAAGAAAUCGACAAAUAAAUCAGUAGCCACCAGAACGGUCUUUACAACUCAGAUCUGGGACAUUACUGAAAUAACUCAACCACAGCUUAGGACGGUCGAAAAGCAGCUCAGAACAUGAGACCGGGUUGAUAAGAAGAAGGUGACAACUCCCUAAAAUAGCCAAAAAGCAGCUAUAGGGCUACUGUCACAAAAAGAAACUCAACAGUUGUACGAGAUGGCCGAAAAGCAGCUCAGAACUCGUGACAAUCGUUGAAGAGAGAAAUAAAAAUCGGCAUCCACCCCGGAUAGCUAAAAACAGCUUAGAUCACAGGCGUGGUGCCGUCGUUGGAGAGAAAGGGGACAAGGGCUCAUCAGGAUCAUUUUCCAGGUUCACAAGUACUUGUGUUGAGCUCAUUGAUGUUGUCAAUCCUCAUAAUCCUUUGUCACACUGCGAUGUAUACUGGCUUUCUUCUCUUAACCAUCCUCAUGUGGUUGUCAGAUCCUCAUCCGAGUGACUUGUAAGAUCUUGGUGGUAUGCUCACCACAUAUAUAUGAGAAUCUGAUUCCCGAGACAAACGUGUAUUCUGACUGAUUCUUGCUUCUGACCAAAAUGUUGUGGAUCUGAUUCUUGGGAUUCAUUGCCAUAUGAUGUCAAUUCACAGCGUACUACCUUGUACCAAUGCCUUAUGAGGAAGAUUGGCUGGCUUGUGCUCGAAACUUUCAGCGGACAGCUUGUUGAAGAAGACCGGGUAUCGUGCUUCAGAAGCUUACCCCCUUAAAGACUUUGCUGGGGAAAGACUUAGUACCUUAUGCCGUAAGCUUUUGCGGUUGCUUACUAAAGAAGGCAGAGUACCUUGUAUGGGAAAUCAUCCAUGUAUCGUACUGAGGAUAUAGAUGAAUCUUGCCUUGGAAGCUUCUCGGGUAUCUUGCGAGGGAAGAUUGGGUUGCUUACACCAGAAGCUUCUUAUUGUGAUAUGCGGACUGCUUUUUCCAUAUAUAACCAUCUUCAUAUUUUUGUUAUUGAUUUCUUGUAUGAAACGGGGUUUUGUAGGACUAUCCUCCUUUCUGGGUACAUGCCAUAUUUUUGCUUGCUUCCAGGUACAUCGGGUUCCAAAAUCAUCCUCAACGAAAAAUUAAACUUGUAUCUGAGCCAUACCUUUGAUAAUAUUCUGUCAACCUUGCACACAAUUUAUCUUCUUGCUGAUUUGAUCAUUUCUGCUAUGAGGAGUGCAUGCCGAGGGAGACUUGACACUUAGUAACAUGAUCAGAUAUCCCCCAAACUGAAUGUAGUCGGCUGAGAAUUCCAGACUGUUGUGAGGAGUGCAAGUUAAUGCAAACUUUAUACUGACAUUCCAUCCAGGAUUUCUUUUGUAUUCAGACGAGCUAUUUCCAAUUUCACUGCAGUCUGCUGACAAUUCCAUUCUGUUUAGCUGAGUUUCCAAAUAUAUGCAUUUCUUGCUGACUCUUCGGGUCCGGUGUCGGCUGACGAGCAACUUUAAUAGGGGGGAAUUUGUAACACCGAAGGCCCAAAGAAAGAAACAAAAGAAACGACUAAAAUAAAAGCACACAAGCAUACUACUAAUAUAAUUGAUCAAGCAAUCAUCACAUAUUACUGCUACUCACACCAUAAUAUGCAUGCACACCUAAGCACACAAAUCGCACGGAAACUCCGGAAUUACAGUCUAAUAUGUUGUGGCGGUGUGCACGAAAAUUAUAUCCAUGUGUGGAAGGAGUUGGCGUAACCGAAGCUACACCAAGCACUGGCUGAACAGUGGCGGGAUCUAGAUGGAUACACAGGUGAGGACGGACUUGACGAUCAAAUAGCGAGACACAAAAGUCACGACCACAUCAUCAUCAAGCGUACGAAAGGGAUCCAUACACAUCCAAAGAAUAGAAUGGCUGAGUAGGGUAGCGGUGGAAAAACAAGGCUCGCUGGCAUUGCCCUUUUCUGAUAACCAAGAUCAGUAAGGGUUGCCAGAGGGACGAGAUGGAUGGCAUGAUUCAGGAUAGAACAAGUCUAUCACCAAAAUAAUAUGGGUGGGUGGCGAAAAAGUUUACGUGAUACCUGAGCAUAACUCCUGCAAAUGGUGUCUGGAACUCUGGGUACCAGGGCAUCACUCUGCUGGGACAGAGAUGACGCCGAACACCAAAGAGCAGACAUGCUAACAAGGAGGGUGCAGGCGGUGGACCGAAAACGAUGCCACCUACACUCACAAGAUUAAUCGUUAGUGACAAAAUAAUAAUCUACAUGCAUGCUAUGCGACAAACAAAUGCAACAAUCAAGUGCAACAAACCAACUGGGGUCUAUACUACCGCUUUCUAACGUUCGCGCGGGCUAGGACAUCCUACAGCUAGACCUGCCCUAAUACCAAGCCUAUGGCACCCUGGCUCAGAGAAUCCGGAACGCCCUGUAUUCCAGCCCAGAGAUCGAGGAGAAGCCUUCUAGAAUAUAGCACUGCUUAGCAUAGAACAAACCAGCUUUCUAAUAUUACACGAAUAUGAAUACAAGGUCUCCGACCUUACAAUGAAUAACAUCGGCAUGGCGACAGUUUGCCAUCCUCAGUUGCUCUAUGCAAGCAGCAGAACAACUCGACGCAGCGGGAAAACUCUGGCAGCAGAACAACGACGACGGUGGUGAACUCCACUCUGCAGGGACUCUGGUUGGAACGCUUAUCCUAGAUCGCCAACAAAGAAUCCACGGCAAACAAGCAUUCAAAUCCGGCAUGACCUGCAAACUGGCAUGACACGCCAGGUCAGUACAUUGAAUGUACUUGCAAGCUCACAAUAACCAGAAACAUUCAAGACAAGCAUCAGUAUGGCAUUUACAGGUUAAGCAGGAAUUAACAUGAGAUCCUCAUAACAAUAUGACAUGAACAACAUGAACAUGGUACAAC